UACGGGGGGAGCAAGCGUUGUUCGGAUUUACUGGGCGUAAAGGGCGCGUAGGCGGCCAGCGCAAGUCAGUUGUGAAAUCUCCGGGCUUAACUCGGAACGGUCAACUGAUACUGCGCGGCUAGAGUGCAGAAGGGGCAACUGGAAUUCUCGGUGUAGCGGUGAAAUGCGUAGAUAUCGAGAGGAACACCUGCGGCGAAGGCGGGUUGCUGGGCUGACACUGACGCUGAGGAGCGAAAGCCAGGGGAGCAAACGGG
This 254-nucleotide ribosomal RNA is filed under the name uncultured bacterium. RNAcentral's name for it is "partial 16S ribosomal RNA". It matches the Rfam family "Bacterial small subunit ribosomal RNA", at positions 524 to 776 of the family's 1533-position model. The record is from RNAcentral.